AUGAACGCUGGCGGCAGGCUUAAUACAUGCAAGUUGAACGGUAACAUAUUGUAGCAAUACGAUGAUGACGAGUGGCGUACGGGUGCGUAACACGUGUGCAACCUACCUUAUACCGGAACAUAACGUCGAGAAAUUGACGCUAACAUUCCAUAACAUUGCUUGAAGGCAUCUUUUAGCAAUUAAAACUCCGGUGGUAUAAGAUGGGCACGCGUUCCAUUAGCUUGUUGGUAAGGUAACGGCUUACCAAGGCUACGAUGGAUAGGGGUUCUGAGAGGAUUAUCCCCCACACUGGAACUGAGACACGGUCCAGACUCCUACGGGAGGCAGCAGUAAGGAAUAUUGGGCAAUGGAGGCAACUCUGACCCAGCCAUGCCGCGUGCAGGAAGACGGCCCUACGGGUUGUAAACUGCUUUUAAUAGGGAGUAAGGUUAGUUACGUGUAACUAAUUGCAAGUACCUAUAGAAUAAGGAUCGGCUAACUCCGUGCCAGCAGCCGCGGUAAUACGGAGGAUCCAAGCGUUAUCCGGAUUUAUUGGGUUUAAAGGGUGCGCAGGCGGACUAAUAAGUCAGUGGUGAAAUCUACAUGCUUAACAUGUAUCGUGCCAUUGAUACUGUUGGACUAGUAUGCAAAUGACGUAGCUGGAAUGUGUUAUGUAGCGGUGAAAUGCUUAGAUAUAACACAGAACACCAAUCGUGAAGACAGGUUACGAAUUUGUAAUAGACGCUCAGGCACGAAAGCGUGGGGAUCAAACAGGAUUAGAUACCCUGGUAGUCCACGCUGUAAACGAUGAUAACUUGUUGUUGGGCACAUAGUGCUCAGUGGCUAAGCGAAAGCGAUAAGUUAUCCACCUGGGGAGUACGAUCGCAAGGUUG
RNAcentral lists this ribosomal RNA (872 nucleotides) under uncultured anaerobic bacterium. RNAcentral describes it as "bacterial SSU rRNA". It matches the Rfam family "Bacterial small subunit ribosomal RNA", at positions 29 to 896 of the family's 1533-position model. The record is from RNAcentral.